GAAGGGAGCCUGAAGAGCUGGUCCUUAUACAGCUUUCUGAAAUCCCUGAGAUCUGUCAAUGAAUCGCGCAUCUUUCACUCCACAAGUAUUUGUUGAACGUCAUUGGGAUCAUGCUGGCUGCUGUGUGGAGAAAAGACCGAGGGGAAGUAAAAGAACAAAGAACAAAAGAGAACAUGAUGGCUUGGAUCAAGAGGUUAGAAGAUGAGCAGGACCCAGUAAAGGAGUGGCUAGAAAGAUAGGAGAAAAACCAGGUAAGUGUGGUGUCCUGGAAGCCUGAUUCAGAGAUAGGAAUUGAUAUAUUGUACCAAAUAGUGUAGAUAAUUCAAAUAAAAUGAGGACUGAAAAAUGACUAUUGGAUUUAGUAAUUGUGGAGGUCAGUGGUAACCUAGUGAUGAGAAGGGCAGUUUCAGUGGAGUGGUAGAGGCAAAAUCCUGAUAGAGUGGAUUCAAAAGAGAAUACGAGAUAAAAUGGGAGAGAGUAAAUACGUAUUUUUUCAAGAAAAAAAAGUUGGUUAUUUAGUCUUUUGUGAAUGGAUAGAAAAAAGUGAUGCAAGACUGGGCACGGUGGCUCACGCCUGUAACCCCAGCACUUUGGGAGGGCCUGGUUCUUGACUAUCCCCUAAAAUUGUCAGUCAGUAGAAGCUCACUGAGUAUCAUCUGAAUUUGAAUCACCAUUAGCUCCCUUCUGAUGAAGCAGGAGUUGACUCAGCUGGGCUUUCAGCUGGACACGGAAAGCGGAGGUAGAUGAAUUGUCAUGAUCAAGUGGGUGUCAUCAAGUACUUAGAAAGGUUUCAUUUUGUUCCUACUGUCUUUCCAACUUACUAAUAAAAAUAUUGAAAUCUGGCCCUACUAGCACACCUACGGGGAGCCACAGUGUAAGACAUUUGGAGACAUCACAUGGUGUUCUGAUGAAGAAGCUAAGGCAGAGUCCUCUAGCUCUCAUAUAUCAACCACAGAGGAAGUUAAAUGGGUGGCCACAGUACAAAAGCAGCUCCAAUAAAGCCAACGAACAUGCAUUAGAAACUCAAGCUUCUCAUCACCAAAUGGUUUCACGAUAGAAGAAUGCUCAACAGAAGGGAACCCCAAAUCACUUUAUUUACAGAAACCUGUGAAGUGCAGUGGUGGUACACGGCACUUAAGUAUUUUAUUUAAAAGCCACACUUUUAAGAAGACCCAAGCUCAAGCCCUGGCUGCACCAUGUACCAUCCUUGCAACCCUGAGCAAGUUGUUUCGCCACCCCAAAUCUGGUUCUUUUCUUGCUAGAUAGAAGCCCUGAUAUUGCCCAUUUCACACAGUGGUCCUGAGACUCCAAUGAGAGAUAAUGUGGAAGCAUCUUGUAGACUAAAAUGUUAAUAAAAAUGUUAACUAAAAUGUUAAAUCAAAAAGAAAUGCGGGAAAUAAAUGUUGUAU
RNAcentral lists this long non-coding RNA (1409 nucleotides) under Homo sapiens (human). Its description in RNAcentral is "long non-coding RNA NONHSAT209556.1". The record is from RNAcentral. Lineage: Eukaryota; Metazoa; Chordata; Mammalia; Primates; Hominidae.